AUAGCUUCUCCCUCUGGCAAAUCCUGCUUCCUUCCCAAUCUUGCCCAACUCUGCUUCCUUCAACAAGAAUUUAUUCCAACAGCACUCCAUAAUUAAGUUCCCCAAAACUUCUCUCCAUCUCAUAAUUGGAUUCUCAGGGAAUUCAGCUUUCAACAUUGGAAUUCUACCCUUGGAGCCAAGCCACGAUGCUGUGUGGAGCUUGAUCCACCUAGAGAGACUACGAGAAGGAGAAUCAAGGAGCUCUGGCUGAAAACCCAGACACUUAACUCCUUGAGGGAAGAAUAAGACAUUACCUUCUUCUUUGAAUCCUUAACACCUAGAACAGAGCCUGGAAAUCUGCAGAAUGAAGAAAACAACACAUGAACAAACAAACUUUGAUAUUCAAACUCUUUACUAACAUCAUAUUGCCAAAGACAACUCUGGCUCCAGGGAGAAGCUUCAGGUGAGGCCUUGAGAUACACUUCUGACCAGAGAAAUCUGAGGAGAAACAUGUUGAUACCAGCACUUCUCCCAUCUUCUUCCUGCCUGGAAUGAGGAAAUGUACCAGGACUUGGAACAGGAAGAUGGAAGCCACAUGCUGAGGAUGGCAAGACAGGAAGACAGAAGGAGCCUAAUUUCUUGAUGCUAUCUGGGCUGGAUUUUAGGCCCUGGAUUGCCUGUGUCCAGACCUCUUAGUGUAUAAU
This 683-nucleotide long non-coding RNA is filed under the name Equus caballus (horse). RNAcentral describes it as "lncRNA (ENSECAG00000044355.1)". Lineage: Eukaryota; Metazoa; Chordata; Mammalia; Perissodactyla; Equidae. The record is from RNAcentral.